AUUGAGCCCGAGGACAUCCAUGCCAAGUGCGAACUGGCCUUUCUCCACACCAGCCACUGCCUGGCCAGCGGGGAAGUGAUGAUCAGCUCCCUGGGAGACGUCAAGGGCAAUGGCAAAGGGGGUUUUGUGCUGCUGGAUGGGGAGACGUUCGAGGUGAAGGGGACGUGGGAGAGACCUGGGGGUGCUGCACCGUCGGGCUAUGACUUCUGGUACCAGCCUCGACACAAUGUCAUGAUCAGCACUGAGUGGGCAGCUCCCAAUGUCUUACGAGAUGGCUUCAACCCCGCUGAUGUGGAGGCUGGUGAGAAUCCCCCCAUGGGCCAGCAGGAGCCUUGGGCCUAC
Molecule: small RNA, 342 nt
Filed under: Pan troglodytes (chimpanzee)
Lineage: Eukaryota; Metazoa; Chordata; Mammalia; Primates; Hominidae
Description: retained intron
Source: RNAcentral